RNAcentral lists this ribosomal RNA (253 nucleotides) under uncultured bacterium. Its description in RNAcentral is "partial 16S ribosomal RNA". It matches the Rfam family "Bacterial small subunit ribosomal RNA", at positions 524 to 776 of the family's 1533-position model. The record is from RNAcentral.
UACAGAGGGGGCAAGCGUUGUUCGGAAUUACUGGGCGUAAAGGGCGCGUAGGCGGCCUUCUAAGUCGAACGUGAAAUCCCCGGGCUCAACCCGGGAACUGCGUCCGAUACUGGAAGGCUUGAAUCCGGGAGAGGGAUGCGGAAUUCCAGGUGUAGCGGUGAAAUGCGUAGAUAUCUGGAGGAACACCGGUGGCGAAGGCGGCAUCCUGGGCCGGCAUUGACGCUGAGGCGCGAAAGCCAGGGGAGCAAACGGG